AUGAAAGAUCAAGAAUCAUCAUCAACCAUGUCUAAACUCCCCAAGCCCUCAGAAGUUGACGCCGAUAACAUCAUUAAGCCCGAUCUUGAUGAACUAUCGGAUGAACAUCGCCAAGCCUAUGAAGCACGCAAAAAGCAGCAUGAAGAGGCUUUUGAGGCGCUCAAGAAGAAGCGCAAGGAGGAGGAUUUGGAAGCGUUUCUUUCAAGUUUCAAGAAGGACCGUCAAGGCAACAUCGCUCCGGUUGGAAACGUCAAUCUUCCUGCCCUCAUCGACGAACAAGAUGUAAUCACUGUGAGUAAAGUUUUUUCUCCAGAGCAAGUGGCUGUGAUUGAAAGUCUUGUUAGUAAGGGUAAUGUGAUGGCUUACAAUUUUUUUGUGGCUAGUGCUAAUGCUCAGAAAAAUAUCCCUCCAUCACCUAGUGGUACUGUUCGUAUAUCUGAAAACCCUACUCCAAUUUUACCUAUUUCAUCGGCACCACCUAUGCAACCACAAUAUAAUAUGCCGUUGAAUUUUUACCCUACUCAAACCAACCAGCUUGUGGCUGCACCUACACACCCUAAUCCUAUUAUGAGUGUGUCCAAUUCGGCGUCUACGCCGAAUCACUUUGUCACACCACCCAUAAGCGCAAGCAUGUUUGGUCUUCCAUCGAAUUAUGGUUCGGCGCCCAUCCCACAAGUUGCACCAAUAGCUAGUACUAAGGUUGCUCCUAUGUCAUUACCACAAACAUCUUCAUCUACCUCAGAUCCAAUUUUAGCUAAAUUAAGGGAGGAUUUGCAUAAGAUGUUUCUAGAAACUUUCGGAAACGAGCCGGAAGUAAAGAGUCGUGUGUACCAAAAGCCUUAUCCUGAACACUUCGAUGCAAUUUCUUACCCUCAAGGUUAUAAGGUUCCUGAUUUUGUUAAAUUUAGUGGUGAGGGUACGAAAACAACUUGGGAGCAUGUUAGUCAGUAUCUAGCGCAAUUGGUGAAGCAGGUUCCAUAG
Molecule: ribosomal RNA, 981 nt
Filed under: Triticum aestivum (bread wheat)
Lineage: Eukaryota; Viridiplantae; Streptophyta; Magnoliopsida; Poales; Poaceae
Description: partial small subunit ribosomal RNA
Source: RNAcentral